GACAGAGGGUGCAAACGUUGCUCGGAAUCACUGGGCGUAAAGGGCGUGUAGGCGGGAAGGAAAGUCAGAUGUGAAAUCCCUGGGCUCAACCCAGGAACUGCAUUUGAAACUCCCUUUCUUGAGUGUCGGAGAGGAAAGUGGAAUUCCUGGUGUAGAGGUGAAAUUCGUAGAUAUCAGGAGGAACACCGGUGGCGAAGGCGGCUUUCUGGACGACAACUGACGCUGAGACGCGAAAGCGUGGGGAGCAAACAGGAUUAGAAACCCCCGUAGUCC
This 273-nucleotide ribosomal RNA is filed under the name uncultured bacterium. RNAcentral describes it as "partial 16S ribosomal RNA". It matches the Rfam family "Bacterial small subunit ribosomal RNA", at positions 524 to 796 of the family's 1533-position model. The record is from RNAcentral.